This 427-nucleotide ribosomal RNA is filed under the name uncultured bacterium. Its description in RNAcentral is "bacterial SSU rRNA". It matches the Rfam family "Bacterial small subunit ribosomal RNA", at positions 355 to 775 of the family's 1533-position model. The record is from RNAcentral.
UAGGGAAUCUUCCGCAAUGGACGCAAGUCUGACGGAGCAACGCCGCGUGAGUGAGGAAGGCCUUCGGGUCGUAAAGCUCUGUUGCCAGGGAAGAACGGGUAGGGGAGUCACUGCCCCUGCCAUGACGGUACCUGAGAAGAAAGCCCCGGCUAACUACGUGCCAGCAGCCGCGGUAAUACGUAGGGGGCAAGCGUUGUCCGGAAUUAUUGGGCGUAAAGCGCGCGCAGGCGGCUUUGUAAGUCUGGUGUUUAACCCUGGGGCUCAACUCCAGGUCGCAUCGGAAACUGCAAGGCUUGAGUACAGAAGAGGAAAGUGGAAUUCCACGUGUAGCGGUGAAAUGCGUAGAGAUGUGGAGGAACACCAGUGGCGAAGGCGACUUUCUGGGCUGUAACUGACGCUGAGGCGCGAAAGCGUGGGGAGCAAACAG